Molecule: long non-coding RNA, 359 nt
Filed under: Mytilus galloprovincialis (Mediterranean mussel)
Lineage: Eukaryota; Metazoa; Mollusca; Bivalvia; Mytilida; Mytilidae
Source: RNAcentral
GGAAAAUACCACCUCUCAUGUUCAUACCAUAUUGAUCCAAAAGAUAGUCCUCCAGUCCAUGUCAGUUCUUAUAAUGGCUUUGUAAGGUUUUAUUUUAUUUGGGGUACCACUAAACCACUUGUCUUAAUUUUUCAGAACAUAUGAUCUAAUGAUAACCUAAAUGUGUGGUCAUAAAAAAUCACAGACUUAAUUCUUCUGUUUACACUGGUUUAUGUCUUAAUUGAAAAUGUCCAUCUUGACUCCUCGAACAUGUGAACACUAUAUAUAAUUAUACACCUUAGUGACUCUCAGCUUCAGAAAUGAGUAUGGCAUUGAACUCACUCAAUUAUCCAGGGGGAAUACUGUAGAGACAAACCUUU